RNAcentral lists this non-coding RNA (21 nucleotides) under Caenorhabditis elegans. Lineage: Eukaryota; Metazoa; Nematoda; Chromadorea; Rhabditida; Rhabditidae. The record is from RNAcentral.
UUAUCCAUUUUUCUACAUUCC